GUCACUGUUCGACAACGAUCCCUCAGCCAUGUUUCAAGGUUCAAACCGCGCCGGCGAAAUGACAACUACAUAUGAUAUUGGAGUCGUCGCGAUUUUGACAUGUCAAGAGAAUUAUUUUUUACACAAUACACAUCACACACCGCGAAAAUACGCGCGUUCGAUGGCGCGCGCGGGACCGCAUCAGGAUCAACGACCUAAGAAAGUGAUAUAGGUUAGGUUGAGGAAACAUGAAUCCGAUAUGCAUCUAGUCCACAUGCAUCUAGUCCACAUUUUUACAUACGAUCUGCCUUCAAUCGACUAUUUCUGGAAAAAUCAAUUUUGUGGGUAUUAAUUAGAUUUAGCUGAGAAGCUGACUUAAAACAUAGAUGAAUUAAAAGACCCAUUUUUGGAUGGAACAAAUAGAAAAUAUCAGAUUUUCCUCGAUCCGUCCGCUCUUUUCGCGCAAUGAGGAUCGUCGAUUCGUUCGCGAGGAUGCUUUAUCGACGCGAUGCGGCUCUUUGGCGGCGAGCGAGAUGAAGCUAGGCGAAGCGAAGCGAGAGACGAACGACGAGUGAUGAGACGAGACGCGGAGGUGGCGAGGAGAGGUGCUCGCGCGAUUCCUGGCAACCGGUUGCCAAGGGCCAUGCGAGGUCCUCGCGCCGCUCCUGCACUCGCCGCCUCGUCGUGGGUGGCUACCGUGACGUCCUAAUCCUGCCGCGAGUCCCUAGGGGCGAGAUCGAUACACACCGUGAUCCGUUUCCCUUUCCCUUUCCCUUCCUCUCUCUCUCUCUCUCUCUCUCUCUAUUUCUCUAUCUAACUCUCUUUCUCCUCUUUCUACCCCUCUUGUUUUCGCGCGCGAUGGGUUAGGCACUCAUCGAUCUCGAGUCGGCGAACUUGUCGGAGACAAAAAAAAAAGGGGGAAAAAACAUGGGAAAACCCGUCCUCCACUGAAAAUUGGCCCGCGAUAACGUCUCGUCCUUCGAUUCGUGAAAAAUUGCAACAUGUGUGUGCUCGGAUUUAGGAAAUAUUUUAAUCAAAGUACACACUUGUCGGGGUGUAUUAGCGAUAAACUAAGUCGAGACGAAAUAACUAAGAUCAAAAACGUCUGUCAUUAAUAUGUUAAUUUGUACUUUUUAUUUAAUUUUGCAAAACUUAUAAUUUUUUUUAAUGAUUCUUCUCCAAACUUAUUCUCAAAUUUUAGUCAUCUCAUUGCGCCGAGAUGACUAAAAUUUUCAGUUUUUAGUUACAGCUAUGUCUUGUAACACUGACAAUUUCUUGUACUACUUAAAGCCAUUAAGAAUAUGCGAUUUUAAAAGAUCUAUCUUUCUAUUUGCAAAAUCUAUCUCUUGAAUGUACUUAUUAUAUUUUAGUUUUGUUUACAUACAUAAUGUACAAAAAAUUGUACAUUUUAUUUUUCAGUUAAAGAGGGAUAAAUUUAUUAUAUGUAAUUAAACACAAUUUGUAAAAAAGAACUCGAUAUCAAGGGCUAAUAUUUAUACAUUGAUAAUAUUUGAUAUGACAAGUUUUUAACGCGAAUUCAGAGAAACACUUUUGCAAAUUUUUCAAAAUUUAUUCACAGAUUCUAAACACUUUUCUCAAGAAUUUUUAGAAUAAAUUGUUAGAAUCCGAUCUCUCGAAUCCUCAGAACAAACCACAAAGUCCUUUCUUACCAAUUUCGACCAAUCGUCACUUUGCGUCCUCUUUCUGCAACUCGUAGGUUUUCGUCUGCCAAAGAAGAGGGAUGAGAGGAGGAAGGGCAAGGUUUGACCUUUUCGAGGGGAUAACGGGAUGGGUAGGACAAGGGUAGUUCGACGGCUGUCUUUUGGGGCAUCGGCCCUUGCCUCGCCGAGGGAGGGUGAGCAGGGGCGGACGAGGAGGACCUACGCGUUAUUGAGCGGCCAUUUCCCACAAAGCGCAGACGAGGGCAACCACCCCGACGAAGCGCGCGGAGUCCUCUUCUCUCUCUCUCUCUCUCUCUCUCUCUCUCUCUCUCUCUCUCUCUCUCUCUCUCUCUCUCUCUCUCUCUCUCUCUUUGCCCCUCCGCCCUCUUUUCACCCCGACCUCUCUAUCCUCCGCUCUCGUCUUUUCGUCCCUUUGCGCGUCACUCUCCCUUCGGUCUAUUACAGACGAGAGAACCUUUCCGAGACCUCGGAUAAUGCACCACCUUCAUCGACGCAUCUUUGAAAACGGUGGAUUUCUUAAGUUCUGUUCUAGAGAUAUGACACGUAGGCAAUAAAUAACAAGGGUUUACAAAAAUACGAGGAAAAGAUUUCAAAUGGAUCACAAGAAUUUGAGGAAAAGAUUUCAAAUGUAUCUUAUCUUUACCUUUAUCUUUGUCUUAAUCUGCGUCUUAUCUUUGGAAAUUUAUUUUAAAUUUUUAUUAAGAAAGCAUUGAUUUCUAAAUAGAAAAAAAAAAAUUUGGAAUCAAGUAGGCAUUGCUCAAUGAUAAUGAUAAAGAUAAGAGUAAAAAUUCAGUAAAUAAUGA
This is a long non-coding RNA of Cataglyphis hispanica, 2464 nucleotides long. RefSeq lists it as uncharacterized. NCBI's taxonomy places the organism in Eukaryota, Metazoa, Arthropoda, Insecta, Hymenoptera, Formicidae. The record is from RefSeq and is a predicted model, not a curated record. The transcript is spliced from 4 exons.